Molecule: ribosomal RNA, 403 nt
Filed under: uncultured Oscillibacter sp.
Lineage: Bacteria; Bacillati; Bacillota; Clostridia; Eubacteriales; Oscillospiraceae
Description: bacterial SSU rRNA
Rfam family: Bacterial small subunit ribosomal RNA
Source: RNAcentral
GGGGAAUAUUCGGCAAUGGACGAAAGUCUGACCCAGCAACGCCGCGUGAAGGAAGAAGUCUUUCGGGUUGUACACUUCUUUCAAGGGGGAAGAGCAGAAGACGGUACCCCUUGAAUAAGCCACGGCUAACUACGCGCCAGCAGCCGCGGUACUACGUAGGUGGCAAGCGUUGUCCGGAUUUACUGGGUGUAAAGGGCGUGCAGCCGGGAAGGCAAGUCAGAUGUGAAAUCUGGAGGCUCAACCUCCAAACUGCAUUUGAAACUGCUUUUCUUGAGUAUCGGAGAGGUAAUCGGAAUUCCUUGUGUAGCGGUGAAAUGCGUAGAUAUAAGGAAGAACACCAGUGGCGAAGGCGAAUUACUGGACGACAACUGACGGUGAGGCGCGAAAGCAUGGGGAGCAAACA